CGACUCUCGGCAACGGAUAUCUCGGCUCACGCAUCGAUGAAGAACGUAGCAAAAUGCGAUACUUGGUGUGAAUUGCAGAAUCCCGUGAACCAUCGAGUUUUUGAACGCAAGUUGCGCCCGAAGCCAUUUGGUCGAGGGCACGUCUGCCUGGGCGUCACG
RNAcentral lists this ribosomal RNA (159 nucleotides) under Melampodium argophyllum. Its description in RNAcentral is "5.8S ribosomal RNA". It matches the Rfam family "5.8S ribosomal RNA". From Rfam's summary of the family: 5.8S ribosomal RNA (5.8S rRNA) is a component of the large subunit of the eukaryotic ribosome. It is transcribed by RNA polymerase I as part of the 45S precursor that also contains 18S and 28S rRNA. The record is from RNAcentral. Lineage: Eukaryota; Viridiplantae; Streptophyta; Magnoliopsida; Asterales; Asteraceae.